AAUUUUGGACAAUGGGGGCAACCCUGAUCCAGCCAUCCCGCGUGUUCGACGAAGGCCGUCGGGUUGUAAAGCACAUCUGGCAGGGAAGAACAGGCGCCGGCUAAUACCCGGCGCCGCUGACGGUACCUGCAGAAUAAGCACCGGCUAACAACGUGCCAGCAGCCGCGGUAAUACGUAUGGUGCAAGCGUCAAUCGGAAUUACUGGGCGUAAAGCGUGCGCAGGCGGUUCGGCAAGAAGGAUGUGAAAUCCCGGGGCUUAACCUCGGAACUGCAUUCUUAACUGCCGGGCUAGAGUAUGUCAGAGGGGGGUAGAAUUCCACGUGUAGCAGUGAAAUGCGUAGAGAUGUGGAGGAAUACCGAUGGCGAAGGCAGGCCCCUGGGAUGAUACUGACGCUCAUGCACGAAAGCGUGGGGAGCAAACA
This 422-nucleotide ribosomal RNA is filed under the name uncultured bacterium. RNAcentral describes it as "partial 16S ribosomal RNA". It matches the Rfam family "Bacterial small subunit ribosomal RNA", at positions 360 to 774 of the family's 1533-position model. The record is from RNAcentral.